Molecule: long non-coding RNA, 467 nt
Filed under: Cucumis sativus (cucumber)
Lineage: Eukaryota; Viridiplantae; Streptophyta; Magnoliopsida; Cucurbitales; Cucurbitaceae
Description: long non-coding RNA (CSAT_LNC000533)
Source: RNAcentral
UUACUUUUAAAUAUAACAAAAUAGAUAUAUUUCAAAAGGGCAAUUAAUCAUUUAAUUGUAGUCUAAGCCUAAGUUGGCAUCUACCAUAAAAAAAUAAAUUAUUUAUUUUGGAUAGAUAUAUAUGAGACACAAGCCAACUUUUAAUUAGGUUGUAAAGGAGGAGUGGAACGCAUGCAUCCAGGUAUUUUUUAGUUACCUUUGUUUCUUUUACGAGGUCACAUUUCUCUCUAGUUUACUUGACUCAACCUUGUGCUUGCAAUUUGUUUUAUGUAAUUUAUAGAAACAACUUUAUAAACAGUAUCGGUUAUCUAUAGAAUGAAUUUUUAAUAUAUUUUAGUGAAAAUAAUUUGAUGUUGAUGAAAUAGAAGAAGAUGGAGAAAAAGGGUACGUACGAGGAGACUGAAACCAGUGACAGAAGCAAAGGAAGUAGCCAUGGAAGCUCCGGCGAGAGGAAGCUGCCCGAGAUG